AAAGUGUUUAGUGGCAUGGGAUGGGGUCGCGUCUAUCAGCUUGUAGGCGGGGUAAUGGCCCACCUAGGCUUCGACGGGUAGCCGGCCUGAGAGGGCGGACGGCCACAUUGGGACUGAGAUACGGCCCAGACUCCUACGGGAGGCAGCAGUGGGGAAUAUUGCGCAAUGGGGGAAACCCUGACGCAGCGACGCCGCGUGCGGGAUGAAGGCCUUCGGGUUGUAAACCGCUUUUGAUUGGGAGGCAAGCCUUUUGGGUGAGUGUACCUUUCGAAUAAGCGCCGGCUAACUACGUGCCAGCAGCCGCGGUAAAU
RNAcentral lists this ribosomal RNA (311 nucleotides) under uncultured Gardnerella sp. RNAcentral's name for it is "bacterial SSU rRNA". It matches the Rfam family "Bacterial small subunit ribosomal RNA", at positions 202 to 525 of the family's 1533-position model. The record is from RNAcentral. Lineage: Bacteria; Bacillati; Actinomycetota; Actinomycetes; Bifidobacteriales; Bifidobacteriaceae.